Molecule: ribosomal RNA, 928 nt
Filed under: uncultured Anaerofilum sp.
Lineage: Bacteria; Bacillati; Bacillota; Clostridia; Eubacteriales; Oscillospiraceae
Description: bacterial SSU rRNA
Rfam family: Bacterial small subunit ribosomal RNA
Source: RNAcentral
AACUGCAAGUUGGGUGUUUAAUCUACGGGCUCAACCCGUAUCAGCAUUCAAAACUGUGGUUUCUGAGUAAUGCAGAGGUAGGCGGAAUUCCCGGUGUAGCGGUGGAAUGCGUAGAUAUCGGGAGGAACACCAGUGGCGAAGGCGGCCUACUGGGCAUCAACUGACGCUGAGGCUCGAAAGCAUGGGUAGCAAACAGGAUUAGAUACCCUGGUAGUCCAUGCUGUAAACGAUGAUUACUAGGUGUGGGAAGAUUGACCCUUUCCGUGCCGCAGUUAACACAAUAAGUAAUCCACCUGGGGAGUACGACCGCAAGGUUGAAACUCAAAGGAAUUGACGGGGGCCCGCACAAGCAGUGGAGUAUGUGGUUUAAUUCGAAGCAACGCGAAGAACCUUACCAGGUCUUGACAUCCAACGACCGCCUAAGAGAUUAGGCUUUCCUUCGGGACGUUGAGACAGGUGGUGCAUGGUUGUCGUCAGCUCGUGUCGUGAGAUGUUGGGUUAAGUCCCGCAACGAGCGCAACCCUUAUUACUAGUUACUACGCAAGAGGACUCUAGUGAGACUGCCGUUGACAAAACGGAGGAAGGUGGGGAUGACGUCAAAUCAUCAUGCCCUUUAUGACCUGGGCUACACACGUACUACAAUGGCUAUUAACAGAGAGAAGCGAGACCGCAAGGUGGAGCAAACCUCAGAAAAAUAGUCUCAGUCCGGAUUGGGGGCUGCAACCCGCCCCCAUGAAGCCGGAAUUGCUAGUAAUCGCGGAUCAGCAUGCCGCGGUGAAUACGUUCCCGGGCCUUGUACACACCGCCCGUCACACCAUGAGAGCCGGGGGGACCCGAAGUCGGUAGUCUAACCGCAAGGAGGACGCCGCCGAAGGUAAAACUGGUGAUUGGGGUGAAGUCGUAACAAGGUAACCGUAAAGGGCGAAUU